RNAcentral lists this ribosomal RNA (792 nucleotides) under Plagiostoma devexum. RNAcentral describes it as "eukaryotic LSU rRNA". It matches the Rfam family "Eukaryotic large subunit ribosomal RNA", at positions 131 to 947 of the family's 3401-position model. Lineage: Eukaryota; Fungi; Ascomycota; Sordariomycetes; Diaporthales; Gnomoniaceae. The record is from RNAcentral.
CUUCGGCCCGAGUUGUAAUUUGCAGAGGAUGUUUAUGGUGCGGUACCUUCCGAGUUCCCUGGAACGGGACGCCACAGAGGGUGAGAGCCCCGUCUGGUUGGAUAUCAAACCUGUGUUAAACUCCUUCAACGAGUCGAGUAGUUUGGGAAUGCUGCUCUAAAUGGGAGGUAAAUCUCUUCUAAAGCUAAAUACUGGCCAGAGACCGAUAGCGCACAAGUAGAGUGAUCGAAAGAUGAAAAGCACCUUGAAAAGGGGGUUAAACAGUACGUGAAAUUGUUGAAAGGGAAGCGUUUAUGACCAGACUUGUGUCGUGUGGCUCAUCCGAGGUUCUCCCCGGUGCACUCCACGCGGCUCAGGCCAACAUCGGUUCUUGUUGGAGGAUAAGAACAGUAGGAACGUAGCUCUCUUUCGGGGGAGUGUUAUAGCCUAUUGUACGAUACUCUGACGGGGACCGAGGACCGCGCUUCGGCUAGGAUGUUGGCGUAAUGGUCAUUAGCGACCCGUCUUGAAACACGGACCAAGGAGUCGUCCAUUAGAGCGAGCGUUUGGGUGUAAAACCCGCACGCGUAAUGAAAGUGAAAUUAGGUGAGAGCUUCGGCGCAUCAUCGACCGAUCCUGAAGUUUACGGAUGGAUUUGAGUAAGAGUUUUAACGGACGGACCCGAAAGACAGUGAACUAUGCUUGAAUAGGGUGAAGCCAGAGGAAACUCUGGUGGAGGCUCGCAGCGGUUCUGACGUGCAAAUCGAUCGUCAAAUUUGAGCAUGGGGGCGAAAGACUAAUCGAACUGUCUAG